GGUGGCUCAGUGGUAGAGCACUUGCCUUGCAUCCAUGGGGCUCUGGGUUCGAUUCCUCAGCACCA
This 65-nucleotide transfer RNA is filed under the name Dipodomys ordii (Ord's kangaroo rat). It matches the Rfam family "tRNA". Rfam says of the family: Transfer RNA (tRNA) molecules are approximately 80 nucleotides in length. Lineage: Eukaryota; Metazoa; Chordata; Mammalia; Rodentia; Heteromyidae. The record is from Rfam by way of RNAcentral.